RNAcentral lists this ribosomal RNA (268 nucleotides) under uncultured archaeon. RNAcentral describes it as "partial 16S ribosomal RNA". It matches the Rfam family "Archaeal small subunit ribosomal RNA", at positions 748 to 1009 of the family's 1478-position model. The record is from RNAcentral.
CAGCCGUAAACAAUGUGCGUUAGGUAUGUCGGUAACCACGUGUUACUGAUGUGCCGAAGAGAAAUCGUGAAACGCACCACCUGGGAAGUACGGUCGCAAGGCUGAAACUUAAAGGAGUUGGCGGGGGAGCACCACAACAGGUGGAGCCUCGCGGGUUUAAAUUUGGAUUCAACGCCGGACAUCUCACCGGAUAAGACAGCUGAAUGAUUGUCAAUCUGAAGGUUUUAACUAUGACUAGCUGAGAGGUGGUGCAUGGCGGUCAGUGACU